Long non-coding RNA from Cyprinus carpio (common carp), 1243 nucleotides. The record is from Ensembl. Lineage: Eukaryota; Metazoa; Chordata; Actinopteri; Cypriniformes; Cyprinidae.
AAGAGAGAAUGAACCAUCGGGCCUGGCGUGGAUUCAGCCUCUUAGCCUCCCAGAUGUAUGUGAGGUUCCGGUGAUCUGUCCAAAUGACAAAUGGGUGNGCUCUUUAAAGCGUGUAUGGUCAGAGCGCCAUCUUGGCAGAACCCCCUUCUGAUCCACUUCUGGUGUGAGUUGGCACCGCGUGGAGGAUGCAACAAAACCUCAUCGGAGCCGUAACACGCCGCUGACACAUGCAUGGAAAUCGGGGGUACCUAUAAUUAUUCCCAUCCUGGUGUUGCUGGCCGCAGUGUUCCUGGUACUGGCACCCAUCUUUGAUGACCCUCAGAUUGAGUACCUCUAUGUGACCCUCUUCAUGCUGAGUAGCAUUGUGAUUUACAUCCCUUUCAUUCAUUUGAAACUGUUCCCAGGAUUGUUAAAUAAACUCACAGUCUUCCUUCAACUGUUCCUAGAGGUAGCACCAACUGCCAAAAACCUGUAAUGCCAAGGGAACAGACCUGUCAAAUUCAAUGUAUUUGUAAUUCAGAUGUUAUAGGUUCUCACAAUUCUAAAUUCUUCAGAUCAUACAUCUGUCUAUAUGAAAGUCAAAAUCUAAAUAUAAUUUCUUUUUUAAGAAACAGAUGGUAAGGUAAAAAUCUUUGAUAGUAACUAUUCUUAAAUCAUCUUUUGAUAACACUUUACAGUAAGAUUGUACAUUCUACAAUUCCUGUGAAGAAACAUUUUUUUUUUAAUUUUAACUGGUGCUUUGUGGAUUCUUGCUAGCUUAGCUUCAAGCAAACAUCUUCUGACUGUAACAGUAUUUAGAAGUAAUUUUAGAUCAGCUUCUACAUAUGCAAGAAAUAUAGUGGUUCAUCAUUACUUACGUUGUACUGAUCAUAUAGAAAAAAUUCCAACAGUAUCAUUUAUUAAAUGUCUCUUUAUGAAGUAUCAUUCCUUGUAUUCUAUUAAAAGAGUCAUUUUAAUUGGACAGCAAUACAUUCAGUCAUGUAUUUUAACUUGAUAAAUAUGCUCUCAAUAUGAUGAGGGUUUAUAUAAAAUACAUCUCAAAGACAUUGUGUAGAUCACAGAUUUCACAGUAAAACAUUUUUUAUUUUUUAAUUGUAAAAAAAAAAAAAAAAUAAUAAUAAUAAUCUUUGAAACCUAAAAAGAUUUCUUAUUCUGUGGCUCAUUAUUAUCUGAUAUAGGUUUCAGAAGAGGGUGUGGCAAAAUGGCUCGACAGCGCCACCUAUCGUAAAAAAAUCAACAGCCC